AAGGAGCGACAACAGGGGAGCUGUACAGGGGAGCUGUGGUUCCCAGGCCUCAGAGGUGAAAGAGACAGUGGUUUGCAAAUGCAGCAACGGCAUCCCAUGAGUGCAGGGGAGUUUCUGCGCUCUGGGUGGAGCAGAACAGGAAAGUUCAUAAAUUCAGCACGUCAGAGCAGCCUGUCUCCCAUAUUUACUCUGCGACUCCGUGACAUCGCGAGCGCUCGCUACUUUACUUUGUCUUAAUGCUGGCAUGUUAACCUCUGAACGGUGACUUUCCAGCCACUAGCCUGGAGGCUGUAAGGUACUUCUGUGCCUAUUUUUAGCCUCUUUUCCUCGAAGAAAAGAGGCUAAUAACAAUGUCUCUUUCCGGGGAUCCUUCUCAAGCAUGCCCAGGAUCCAGGAGGCAACAGUAACAUCCCUAAGGAGCCAGUCUCAGAAGCAGGUGCGGGGCGCCCUCUCUCUGUUAUCAGAGAGAGUGCGGGAAAGCAGCUGAGCCACAGCGGGGCACUGGGCAGGAUCGCUACGAGGAAUUCACUAAGAUACAGGCUUGGUUCACGUACACAAGCUACUGAGGCAAACGCAGAUGUUUCCCCAAGCAUCUGGACCUUCUAAAAAUGAAGUGCCACCUCACCAGCAGCAAAGCAGCUUGAAGUUAAUGAUGAUUAACAAUGGGAAAGGUUUGGCCAACAUAUUUUCAGAAAGACAUGUCCUGUGACAAGUGUGCAAAUGACACCUAAGGCUCUGGUUUCGAUGAAAACUGGCCCCAUGUUCCUGGAGACUAUUAGCCCGCAUCCUACAGGAUAGUGUGCACCUAAAGUUCUCAAGAGCUUCCUCGUCCUUGGAAGCACCAAUAUACAGAGGGGUGGAUAUCCCAGAGAAAAUAAACAGAUGAAAGUCU
RNAcentral lists this long non-coding RNA (892 nucleotides) under Mus caroli (Ryukyu mouse). RNAcentral describes it as "lncRNA (MGP_CAROLIEiJ_G0005171.1)". Lineage: Eukaryota; Metazoa; Chordata; Mammalia; Rodentia; Muridae. The record is from RNAcentral.